Molecule: long non-coding RNA, 474 nt
Organism: Centrocercus urophasianus (Greater sage-grouse)
Lineage: Eukaryota; Metazoa; Chordata; Aves; Galliformes; Phasianidae
Exons: 3
Source: RefSeq, a predicted model, not a curated record
UACUUUGAUGCCUGAAAACACACACACACACAAACACCACUUAAAUGAAACUAUGUGCAUGAACACCUUCACAGAGCAGUCCAAAAAUCCACCCGCAAAGCAACUGCAGAACGCAUAAAGGCAACGUGAAUAGAGAUUAGACCAAUUUCAACCUCAAAAUCCGAGUCCUUCCAUCAUCAGUUGCUUUGGAUCAAAGUUUGAUAACUCCUUCUCUUUCAAUCAGAACCCUGUUAGGGCACGCAGAGAAAAGGCUGGAUUUCCCUUUUAAGCUCAAGCCUGUCACUUCCUUGAAAAAUAACUGCAGCAAAGGAGAACGAGCAGCCCUGCAAGGCUUCCGGGCUUUACUGUUACGGUGAGAUCCAGCAAGACUGAUCAAAAAGCGAAGAGUAAAAUGAGCGCUGCUGGAAUGGGAGGCAAGGUAACGGGUGGCAAAAGGAGCGCUCUGAGCAACAGCCACACGCGCCCGCCGCAGGG